RNAcentral lists this ribosomal RNA (571 nucleotides) under uncultured Emiliania. RNAcentral describes it as "bacterial SSU rRNA". It matches the Rfam family "Bacterial small subunit ribosomal RNA", at positions 90 to 692 of the family's 1533-position model. The record is from RNAcentral. Lineage: Eukaryota; Haptophyta; Isochrysidales; Noelaerhabdaceae.
CUUUAGUGGCGAACGGGUGCGUAAUACGUGAGAAUCUGCCCUUAGGAGGAGAAUAACUUCUGGAAACGGUUGCUAAGUCUCCAUAUGCCGAGAGGUGAAAUAGUUUAUACUGCCUAGGGAUGAGCUCACGCCUGAUUAGCUUGUUGGUAAGGUAAUGGCUUACCAAGGCCACGAUCAGUAGCUGGUUUGAGAGAACGAUCAGCCACACUGGGACUGAGACACGGCCCAGACUCCUCCGGGAGGCAGCAGUGAGGAAUUUUCCGCAAUGGGCGAAAGCCUGACGGAGCAAUACCGCGUGAGGGAUGAAGGAUUUUGGUCUGUAAACCUCUUUUCUCAAGAAAGAAGUUCUGACGGUACUUGAGGAAUAAGCAUCGGCUAACUCCGUGCCAGCAGCCGCGGUAAUACGGGGGAUGCAAGCGUUAUCCGGAAUCAUUGGGCGUAAAGCGCCUGUAGGUUGUUUAAUAAGUCUGUUGUUAAAGACUAGGGCUUAACCCUAGGAAAGCAAUGGAAACUGCUAGACUUGAGUAUGAUAGGGGUAGAGGGAAUUUCUAGUGUAGCGGUGAAAUGCGUA